This 440-nucleotide long non-coding RNA is filed under the name Elaeis guineensis (African oil palm). RNAcentral's name for it is "long non-coding RNA (EGUI_LNC018120)". Lineage: Eukaryota; Viridiplantae; Streptophyta; Magnoliopsida; Arecales; Arecaceae. The record is from RNAcentral.
GUUUCAUUGUGAAGAGUUCAAUUUCUAUGGACUCAUCAACAUAUAAUAGCAUAGUCUCUUUAAUUUCUCAUUGUUUUUUUCUUUUUUGUUAAAUCAGAUGACCAAUUUGAAGUAAAUCCAUCGACAAGUUUCUAUUUUGUUAUGAGGCAAAACUAAACUGCCAUCUUAGGUUUAUCAUCAACAUAUUUAAACAACUCUCUAAUCUUGUCUUUGCUCUCUUUUUUGCAUGAAACAGUUUGAUGUAGGUCUAUAUGUGUCGGUGAAGCAUUGUUUUUAAAGGAUUCGAGGUUCCUACAUGAUAUUUUUCUUUAUUGAACCUGAACUUUUUAUCUUGCUUUAUGAAAUAAGUUACAUAAAAUUGUUAUUAAGACUUAUUUUUCUGAUCUAUUCUCUCCCAAGGCCAUUCAAUGAUGGACUCCUCCCUUGAGAGUGAAGUGAUG